AAUUGAUGGUCCUUCAGUAGGUUGGAAGACAUUUUUUAGACAACAGGAAGCUUUCAGCUAUGCCAGAAGAAAAUCUUCAGUAGGUUUUAUGGUUUUAUAGAAGUAAGAAGAUAUGACAUGAUUGCCAAUGAGACAACUCUCCACAAGAAACCAAAUGACACAGAAAUUAACAAUUAUAGGGAACCGUACAGCCUUCAACAAUAAGGAAAACCAAUAACACAUAGUCAGCUUUAAAAAAAAAAUGACAAAUGAUAAAAAAAGGUCUUGAUAUCUCUUUAUCAUUUCUUUAUUUUACUAAUAUAAAUCUACCUAUAUAUUAAUACAAAUGUGUAAUAUGUUGUGAUUUGUAUGAAAUGGGAUCCAUUUACUCUGUAGCCUUAUUUUUUACUUGACUAUAUGUGAAGACUUGACAAAUUUGACAAGAUUCAUUACUAAAUGUGCCCAUUAUUACUUUAGGGUAGGCAUAUUUACUUUUUAAAGGCACAACAAAUAGAGUUGAAGUUAAACUCUGAACAAAAAAAAUGUUUUUACUUGGACUGUAAUUGCAAUGAACAAGGUUUUUCUUUUGUAUGUUUUUUAAAAGCAAGUUUCUGUGAAAGUCCAAUUCAGUAUAGAGGAUAUAAUGGUACAUGUAUUGGUAUACAUAUUUAUUUUUUAGGAUCUUCAUGUAUUUUCCUAUGAGAGUGAGAGUUUGGGAUCAGAAACUGGACAAAGGAUGUUUUUAGUGGCAUCUUAUCCUGUAUUCUGGCAUUAUUAUAGGUACAUUAUCUAGUUAGGAUCUUCCCCUGGCAUGCCUAUUUGUAAAUGUAUGUGCUGUAUGAAUACAGUAGAACGUGUUCCUAUGCAUAGGUGUAUACACUUAUAUAUUUUACAGUUACAUGGGUUUCUUGCUAUUGGUAUAGUUGUCUCACUGGCAAUUAUACCACAAUUCUUUUAUUUUAUAUUUUAUUUGUGUGGUAUCACAUUAUGAUUUAGAUAUUGAUACUUCACUUUAUUAACCAACUUACUACAAUAUGUAUAGAAAUGCCCAUGCUUUAUAAAAGGAAAAUUUCGACAACUGGUCAUUAUGAACGGAGAAAUUGCUACAGCCAGUCAUUACGAAAUAUCAGUCAUGCAUUACGAAAUCAUACCCGUGCAUUACGAAAUCACAGCCAUGCAUUAUGAACAGAUGAAAUGGGAUAUCAAUUAAAUGUUGUUUAUUUCUUUAAAUAAGUGACAACUUUUUAUAAUGUUUUAUUUUAACUUAGUAUAAAAAAAGUUUAAUUUAGUAACGGCUUGAAACGGAAAUAUUUCACAGCCUUUUCGAUUACGACUUUCGAUUAUUAUCACUGUUUCAUUUCCGUUGAUCAAUCGAACGCAGACUAGGUCGCAGAAAGAGUAAGAAUAGUUAAACUGUCUGAUUUAUUCUUCCCAGCUACUUAAUAUUUGCUAGAUGAUAUGAAUUGUAAUAGCAUAGAAUUGAGUACUUGGAUGAGAAAUCAGAAAUUACUUCCGACAAUGUUGGCCAUGAAUCCAUCAUGAAUGCGAAAAGACAAGUUCAGCUAUGAAUUCCUGUAUGAUGUAUCUUCUUUACGGUAAGAUUCUUACUCUUUGUUUAAUCGAAGAAUUAAAACCUUUUACUAAAAGUGUUAUUAACUGGCAUUUUCUGUAUUGGUCCUGUUAUAAAUUCAUGGUUUAAUAGUUGUAUUUGGAUCAAGACUUGAAGACUGUUCUUGAAUGGACUUGAUUGAAGUUGCCUUAUAGUUGGUUAAUAAAAGUAUCAAUAUAUGGACUUUUUCAUAUUGGCCCUGUUAUAACGCAAAUAUUUGUUUUAUCGGCGUUGCCUCAGGGCCAUUACAACCAUCCUUGGCCAUUAUUAAUACCGCGGGCAUGUUACAGGGCCAAUAUGAAAAAAUCCAUACAUUAAUACUAUAAUAAUUCAUUGGAUACUAAUUUCCAUUGGUAUAAGUGAACCACAAAUUUAGAUGUCCAACAUACUACAAAUUUUCUAUAGGUUUGGCAUGGGUUGGUAUGUAUAUCAGUGUAUGUGCAUUUAUUUAUUAAUUUGCCUUGUGUUUAGCUAUGGCUCUACCAUAUGAUAUUGUUUGAGAAAAUUAUGAUAUGUCAUUAAAAUAAAUUUCCUACCAUACCAAUGGAUUACAAAAAUAUGUUGACCUUUUCCAGGCAGUUAGAUGAACAAAAGAAGACACAUUAUGAAUUGAUACCAGAGGGUAUGUAAUAUAGACAACAUUAGGGUAGUUCCAAUAAAACAUACAUACAUAGGAUUUCAUAUAAUUGCUUACACCCACUUCAUUUGAACUUUGGUGUAGUGUUGUCUCAUUGGCAAUCAUACCACAUCUCCUUAUUUUUAAUAUAAGACCUUUGGAAGACAAAAUGGAAUGAAUGCCAGAUAUAUAUGUCUGUUUGGCUAGUUUAUCUGACCUUGACCUCAUUUCCAUGGUAAAUUGGUCAUGGUUUAGUUUUCAUGGCAAGCCUGAAAGUCUGUUUCUCGUGUACUAUGAGUAUUUAAUAGAUCAGCUAUAUUUGGUUUAUGAACAAAUUGUAUUGUGUACAUGUCAUACUUGUUUACCUGGCAAAUUCUUAUAGUCUUGACUUCAUUUUCACGGUUUAAAAGACAGUGCUAUGUUUUCAUGCUUAAUAGAUAUAAGAAGAUGUGGUAUGAGUGCCAAUUAGACAACUCUCCAUCCAAGUCGCAAUUUGUAAAAGAAAACAUUUAUAGGUCAGAGUACGGCCUGCAACACAAAAGCUUUGACUCAUACCAAACAGUAAACUAUACAGGGCUCCAAAAUUACUAGUGUAAAACCAUUGAAAUAGGAAAACCAACUGUCUAAUCUAUAUUAAAAACGAGAAACAAGAAACACUGAUGAACCACAUUAAAAAACCACAACCACUGAACAUCAAGUCCAUUUCUGAGAUAGUGAAAUAUUGCAAAUUAGAAAUAGAAAUUGCAAAUUGCAAAUUAGAAAUAGAAACACAAAAUAGACAUUUACUGCUACUGAUUACAACAAUAUGAUUUGUCUUUCAGGAUCAGUCUGUAAGCUCUAUUUUGAUUUAGAGUUCCCUAAAGAAAAUAAUAGAAAUUGUGAUGGAAGAGCGAUGACAGAUAUUUUUAUAAAGGUUAGGAUUUACAGCUCUUAUUUAUAGCGAAAUCUCUAAUGAAAUUGGGAAUGCAAUGUUUCUUUUGUGUCUUCAUUGUGUAAAAUGUUUAUUUAAUACAUAAACGUUAAACCAUGAAAUAAGAAAAUCUUGCAUUUUAAUCUUGAUAACAGAUAUUUAAAAAUAGGUUGGCAGUAUGCUUGGAUGAGACAAUAACCAAAAGACAACAAAAAACAACUAUUGAUAGAUUUAGAGAUUGACCACACACCUUCUAGCCAGUUCUAGGUGGAUUAAAAAUCCUAUUGCCUAUGAUUAGUAAUUGGAAAACAUGAUCAACUUGACACAAAUCUGUAAAUUAAAAUUAUGUGUGCUUCACAGUCAAAAAAGAGUAGUACAUAAAAUUAACAAUCUCAGCUGGAACAUUGUGUUAUAUGACAGGUUAAUUAUGAAAAGUCAAGGUCAUGAGAUCCUUAGUAACAAAAUGAAUACAAAAACAAGAAACAAUACCAUUCUCUCCAAGUAGCCAUGAAGUUUUUUAAAUAAUUUAGUAAUGAUUUGCAACAUGUUUCUGUAUUUUCCACUAAAAGGGACAUCUCUAAAAGAUAUGAAAGGAUUCUGGUGAGCACUGUAAAGGUUGCAUUAUUAUUCAACAAUUGUAUGUCUUUAUUGAGUAUUUAGAUAAUAUUGCUAUGUUCCUAUCACUUGUCAAAUGUUAACUAUACAGUGCUAUCUAAACACCUUUUUUUCGUUCAAAUUCGAAUCUAUUUUUAUUCUAGACGUUUAUUUUUCAGUAUGUUACCAGUUGGAUGGAUGAAAUCUUCAAAGUCAAGUGUUCAAAAGAACAUGUACUAAGUCUGGAUGCAAG
Molecule: long non-coding RNA, 3961 nt
Filed under: Mytilus galloprovincialis (Mediterranean mussel)
Lineage: Eukaryota; Metazoa; Mollusca; Bivalvia; Mytilida; Mytilidae
Source: RNAcentral